UGUCAAAUGAAACAUCAAAGUAACUGAAUUAAAAUUUCUUGUCAAUGUCUAUUACAAUUUAAAGGAAAACUUGAAACAAAAAAUUAAACAUUUUGUAGGCUUACAUAUGGAUCUCACAUAUAUGUGUCCAAUUAAGUUGUAACCUUAAAAACUUUUCCAACAUUUGGAUAAACAUGUUUGAACUCAAUUCGAAGCCUAUCACCAAAUUGUAUUCCAUUGUCAAAACAAAAGUUUUUCCAUCCUCCAACAAUCUGCACAUUUUCAGAAGGAUUGGUUGGAUACUUUAAAUGUAUCUUUGAACUGUUUGUUCCUGGUACUUCAAGAAUGAGGCUUUGCAAAUUGAAAUCACGAACAUAUUUUGAUAAUUCAUUUGGCAAAGUCUAUAAAACAAAAUAUGAAAAAUUAAACCAAUAAAAAUAAGAGAUAAUAAAUAUCAUAAACAUUUUAAAAAACUAACUUCAGAUGUGAAAAAUGAAUAGAAAAGAGAAUUUCUUACAAUUUGUGUUUGGCUGCAACGGUUUAAAUGGUUAAUACUGAAUUCAAAGGUAUGUACAUCCGGAAUUGGAUGAUCUGCAAAUCUCAAUGGAAUAAAACUUACUGCAUAAGUGUUAGGUGCAUCUUCAACUCCAGCAUUUGUGUUGUUACCUCUGGAAUUUUCCAAUCGAUCAUAAUAAUCUUCACCAUAUUUUUCAAGGAAUUCAGCGUAAUCCG
RNAcentral lists this long non-coding RNA (711 nucleotides) under Trifolium pratense (red clover). RNAcentral describes it as "long non-coding RNA (TPRA_LNC000071)". The record is from RNAcentral. Lineage: Eukaryota; Viridiplantae; Streptophyta; Magnoliopsida; Fabales; Fabaceae.